GACGAACGCUGGCGGUGUGCUUCACACAUGCAAGUCGAACGAGGUAGCAAUACCUAGUGGCGGACGGGUGAGUAACGCGUGGGAAUCUGCCUUUAGAUGGGGGAUAACGGGUCGAAAGACUCGCUAAUACCGCAUAUGACGAAAGUUGAAAGGAGUAAUCCGUCUAAAGAUGAGCCCGCGUCCGAUUAGCUAGUUGGUAGAGUAAAAGCCUACCAAGGCGACGAUCGGUAGCUGGUCUGAGAGGAUGAUCAGCCACAAUGGGAACUAGAGACACGGCCCAUACUCCUACGGGAGGCAGCAGUGGGAAUUUUACGCAAUGGGCGAAAGCCUGACGUAGCGACACCGCGUGAGCGAAGAAGGCCCCCUUGGGGGUGUAAAAGCUCUGUCAAGCUGGAACGAAAAAAAUGACGGUACCAGCAGAGAAGCAUCGGCUAACU
Molecule: ribosomal RNA, 437 nt
Filed under: uncultured bacterium
Lineage: Bacteria
Description: bacterial SSU rRNA
Rfam family: Bacterial small subunit ribosomal RNA
Source: RNAcentral